Molecule: ribosomal RNA, 757 nt
Filed under: uncultured bacterium
Lineage: Bacteria
Description: bacterial SSU rRNA
Rfam family: Bacterial small subunit ribosomal RNA
Source: RNAcentral
ACUUCUUUAUCACCGAGUGCUUGCACUCACCGAUAAAGAGUUGAGUGGCGAACGGGUGAGUAACACGUGGGCAACCUGCCCAAAAGAGGGGGAUAACACUUGGAAACAGGUGCUAAUACCGCAUAACCAUAGUUACCGCAUGGUAACUAUGUAAAAGGUGGCUACGCUACCGCUUUUGGAUGGGCCCGCGGCGCAUUAGCUAGUUGGUGGGGUAAAGGCUUACCAAGGCAAUGAUGCGUAGCCGAACUGAGAGGUUGAUCGGCCACAUUGGGACUGAGACACGGCCCAAACUCCUACGGGAGGCAGCAGUAGGGAAUCUUCCACAAUGGGCGAAAGCCUGAUGGAGCAACGCCGCGUGGGUGAAGAAGGUCUUCGGAUCGUAAAACCCUGUUGUUAGAGAAGAAAGUGCGUGAGAGUAACUGUUCACGUUUCGACGGUAUCUAACCAGAAAGCCACGGCUAACUACGUGCCAGCAGCCGCGGUAAUACGUAGGUGGCAAGCGUUAUCCGGAUUUAUUGGGCGUAAAGGGAACGCAGGCGGUCUUUUAAGUCUGAUGUGAAAGCCUUCGGCUUAACCGGAGUAGUGCAUUGGAAACUGGGAGACUUGAGUGCAGAAGAGGAGAGUGGAACUCCAUGUGUAGCGGUGAAAUGCGUAGAUAUAUGGAAGAACACCAGUGGCGAAAGCGGCUCUCUGGUCUGUAACUGACGCUGAGGUUCGAAAGCGUGGGUAGCAAACAGGAUUAGAUACCCUGGUAGUC